Long non-coding RNA from Oryzias melastigma (Indian medaka), 1343 nucleotides. RefSeq lists it as uncharacterized. The transcript has 2 exons. The record is from RefSeq and is a predicted model, not a curated record. Lineage: Eukaryota; Metazoa; Chordata; Actinopteri; Beloniformes; Adrianichthyidae.
UCUGUAGUGGCCUCACAGUCCUUCCGGCACACAACCCUCCCCUCCGCGGUCCGCCGCCGCAUUCACAUGGGAACUCGGACAAAGAGCGGCACAACCAAGGUCAUCCCUUCUGGUUUCCAACUUUAACAAGAUUCUAGUGUCAAGAAUGUAGUCAUUUCAGCUGACAAAUGAGCCCUAAAAAAUAGGGAGAAAUCUGACAGAAACAUGUUGUCGUACUUUCAGCAUAAGUGGUACAUUAAUUAGCCCAAUAAUAUUUAAGAGUACUUAGUAGAGUGUGUAAUUAACAAGUUAACACAAGGCAAUUAGCAGCUCAUUUAUAUUACACAAGAAGGUCUCUCCUUCUCAAUUUAUAAACCCGAUGAAAAUAAGAGUUGACUGCAUUCCUAACCCCCCCUUUUUUAUUUUUUAUUUUAUUUUUGCCACUACAUCCUGUCAGGGGAGAUUCCUCCAGGCAUCACAAGCAGGUGGUUGAUCUUUUUUCCUAAGAUGCAAAACGUUUAGGGGAGCUUGUGAUCCCCUGUAAUGAUGUGUGGCAGCUUCUUCAAGGCUCCUGUAUAGAUGUUUCACAGCACUUUCAAUGACAGCCUGGACAGAUGUGAGGAUUUUAUUAUUUGUGUUGUUAGGAUGCACCCUUCAAUAGAAGGCUACUAUCAUCUCAUCAAAUGAGUCCUCUCCCUUCCCGCCUGCUCCCCAUCUUCAUGGCGCAGUAAGGUGGACACACACAUGGCCGGAGCCGAAUGCGGACCUGGAGCUCCGGCGGCACCAACUCUCCCAGCCUUAAAAACUGGAGAAAACGCGAUUCGGUUCCGCGUAUCGCUGUCUUAUCGCUGUCUUACCUGGACGGACGACGUCUCAACGGCAACUUGGGGACUUUUUUCAGGCACACGUCGGUGGCGGCAGCAUCCUCCGCGAUUUGUUCAGCCGAAGGUUUGAAGUAAUUGAGAUUCCCUCGGUUUAAUUAAUCCUCCGUGGACGAGAAAACACGGCCAGAAGUGGAUGAGCUGACAGGGAACAAGCUCCGGUGUGUAAACGCUUAGCCGCCUUUUUUUACUGUAAUGUUUAUUUGUUUUUUUUCCUCAAUUCAAAUAAGCAUAAACGCCGUAUGGAUGUCUAACUGUUUUAUGUUUUCCUCCCCCUCUCGUUCCUCGUUUCUCUUAGGCUGAGGACUAACUCUUUUUUUUUUUUUUUUCCUCAAAUAAAGGCGGGGUCUUUGGUCUUUUAAGCCAAUGACAUUUACCAAAACGAGAAAGCCCCCACGCCUUUUUCCUGCCACUCUUCAGCCACCUUUCGGAGGUAGAAGUACGGAAGGGGGUGAGGGCCAAAUAAAACUAAAUUAAUGUAAA